Molecule: ribosomal RNA, 94 nt
Filed under: Candidatus Treponema equi
Lineage: Bacteria; Pseudomonadati; Spirochaetota; Spirochaetia; Treponematales; Treponemataceae
Description: partial 16S ribosomal RNA
Rfam family: Bacterial small subunit ribosomal RNA
Source: RNAcentral
AUCAUGGAGAGUUUGAUCCUGGCUCAGAACGAACGCUGGCGGCGCGUCUUAAGCAUGCAAGUCGGACGGGAUCGGUAGCUUGCUACCGUGAGAG